Molecule: ribosomal RNA, 950 nt
Filed under: Paenarthrobacter nitroguajacolicus
Lineage: Bacteria; Bacillati; Actinomycetota; Actinomycetes; Micrococcales; Micrococcaceae
Description: bacterial SSU rRNA
Rfam family: Bacterial small subunit ribosomal RNA
Source: RNAcentral
GACGGGGGGGGGUGCUUACCAUGCAAGUCGAACGAUGAUCCCAGCUUGCUGGGGGAUUAGUGGCGAACGGGUGAGUAACACGUGAGUAACCUGCCCUUGACUCUGGGAUAAGCCUGGGAAACUGGGUCUAAUACCGGAUACGACCAUCUGGCGCAUGUCAUGGUGGUGGAAAGCUUUUGUGGUUUUGGAUGGACUCGCGGCCUAUCAGCUUGUUGGUGGGGUAAUGGCCUACCAAGGCGACGACGGGUAGCCGGCCUGAGAGGGUGACCGGCCACACUGGGACUGAGACACGGCCCAGACUCCUACGGGAGGCAGCAGUGGGGAAUAUUGCACAAUGGGCGCAAGCCUGAUGCAGCGACGCCGCGUGAGGGAUGACGGCCUUCGGGUUGUAAACCUCUUUCAGUAGGGAAGAAGCGAAAGUGACGGUACCUGCAGAAGAAGCGCCGGCUAACUACGUGCCAGCAGCCGCGGUAAUACGUAGGGCGCAAGCGUUAUCCGGAAUUAUUGGGCGUAAAGAGCUCGUAGGCGGUUUGUCGCGUCUGCUGUGAAAGACCGGGGCUCAACUCCGGUUCUGCAGUGGGUACGGGCAGACUAGAGUGCAGUAGGGGAGACUGGAAUUCCUGGUGUAGCGGUGAAAUGCGCAGAUAUCAGGAGGAACACCGAUGGCGAAGGCAGGUCUCUGGGCUGUAACUGACGCUGAGGAGCGAAAGCAUGGGGAGCGAACAGGAUUAGAUACCCUGGUAGUCCAUGCCGUAAACGUUGGGCACUAGGUGUGGGGGACAUUCCACGUUUUCCGCGCCGUAGCUAACGCAUUAAGUGCCCCGCCUGGGGAGUACGGCCGCAAGGCUAAAACUCAAAGGAAUUGACGGGGGCCCGCACAAGCGGCGGAGCAUGCGGAUUAAUUCGAUGCAACGCGAAGAACCUUACCAAGGCUUGACAUGAACCGGUAA